Molecule: ribosomal RNA, 466 nt
Filed under: uncultured bacterium
Lineage: Bacteria
Description: partial 16S ribosomal RNA
Rfam family: Bacterial small subunit ribosomal RNA
Source: RNAcentral
GAUGAACGCUGGCGGCGUGCUUAACACAUGCAAGUCGAACGGAAAGGCUCCUGCUUGCAGGGGUACUCGAGUGGCGAACGGGUGAGUAACACGUGGGUGAUCUGCCCUGCACUUCGGGAUAAGCCUGGGAAACUGGGUCUAAUACCGGAUAGGACGAUGGUUUGGAUGCCAUUGUGGAAAGUUUUUCGGUGUGGGAUGAGCUCGCGGCCUAUCAGCUUGUUGGUGGGGUAAUGGCCUACCAAGGCGUCGACGGGUAGCCGGCCUGAGAGGGUGUACGGCCACAUUGGGACUGAGAUACGGCCCAGACUCCUACGGGAGGCAGCAGUGGGGAAUAUUGCACAAUGGGCGCAAGACUGAUGCAGCGACGCCGCGGGGGGGAUGACGGCCUUCGGGUUGUAAACUCCUUUCGCUAGGGACGAAGCGUUUUGUGACGGUACCUGGAGAAGAAGCACCGGCUAACUACGUG